This 6890-nucleotide long non-coding RNA is filed under the name Arabidopsis thaliana (thale cress). RNAcentral's name for it is "long non-coding RNA (ATHA_LNC000619)". The record is from RNAcentral. Lineage: Eukaryota; Viridiplantae; Streptophyta; Magnoliopsida; Brassicales; Brassicaceae.
AUCACAAACUAAAACAUAGGAAAAACAUCGAAUAGAAAACGAAAUCCUCAAAAUAUAACUUAAAGCUCAUCCCUCUUGAGUGCGGAUGGACGAACACCUUGAGCGAGGAAAUCUUUGUAAUACUUGGCUGAUUCUUUCUCAUAACGUGUGAGGUUAUUUUUGAAAUCGACGUAAUAGAGUCCGAAUCUGUUUUUGUAACCAUCUUGCCAUUCGAAGUUAUCCAACAAUGACCAUACAAAGUAUCCCGUAACUCUCACCUUAUCGAUGCUGCACAAACACAAUUAUGUUCUUAAUUAGACCAUUCAAUAGAAUCGUUAGUCAAUCUAUCAAAUAAUAAAAGGCUUACCAAAUAGCCUCGUUCAUAGCCAGAAGAUGCCUCUGAAGAUAAUAUUUCCUGUUAUGAUCAGCAGUACCAACGUCAACCGAAUCUGUGGUCCCAAGUUUAUCUCCAUAUCCUAGAAAAAACAACAUUAUAAUGAUCAGUAUAUUACUCUUAAGAGUUAAGAUUAAAUCAACACACAAAUAUAACAAUAAAUCUCGAGUUACCAUUUUCCAUUAUCAUAAUCUCCGGGUUUGCGUAUUUGUCCUUGAUGUACUUUAAAAGCUUUCUAAAUCCUUUAGCGUAGACGGGCAAUGCAGCAGUAAGAGGCUGAAAUAAAGCAAUGGUGAAAAUGUUAUGUCGUAGACAAAAAUUAACAAUCACAAACUAGGACUAGUUUAAUCAAACGCUUACCAUGCUACCAAUGGCGCUGUGAUCUACAUUCUUAGCUGAAAAAUAAAAAGUGAAAAUGUAUGCAUAUCAAUUAGUAUUAUAAAACCUUUUAUCUUUAGUUUCUUGGUUUGGUUUCAUGUACGGAAAACAAAAAAAAACUUACGUUCCCAGGAAACAAGAGAAUCUUGCUUCCAACUUGGUUUAGACGGAUCUGGCUUCUCAUUAUAAUUUGAAAAUGUCGAAGUAUAGUAGUUAAGCCCUACGAAAUCGGUCGAAUCUUUCAAUUUUGCUUUUUGUGCAGCAGUAAAUUGAGGCAAUCUGUAACCAAGAAGGUCUUUCAUGAUUUGUGGAUAAUCUCCCGAAGUAGUUGGCUCCAGAUGCCUACACAAAAUUAAUAACUACAUUAAUUUUUAUGAAAUUAUAUACGAGAAACCAUUUUCUAACAUAAUAUAUACUUACCAUCCCAACAUAAAGUCAAGUACACGGCUAACAGUUGGAGCGUCAUUUGAAUCUUUAAGAUCAUGUGGUUCGAACCAAGCCGGACUAUGUGCGAUUCCGAUUUUCCCACCUUUAACCUAUGUCCAUAAACACAACACAAAACAACCUAUUUUAAGAUUCGAAACCUGAUAAUUAAUUGUGAUUUAUAUCUAAUGUGACCUGAUAAUUAAUUAUGAUUUAUAUCUAAUGUAAACUACCUUUUGGCGGAAAACUUCAACAGCUUCUGCGUGAGCGUUGAGGAGAUUGUGACUGACUAGAUAAGCCUCUUUACCAGAUUGUCCCUCUCGGUCUUCGCAACCUGGAACGUAGCGAGAACAACGUCCUGGUGCUUUCUUUCCUAAGUCGUAACCUGCGUGAGCAAAGACCCAUGGCUCGUUGAAAGUGAUCCAGUUUUUCACUUUUCCACCGUAUUCAGUGAAAACAUAAUCUGCAUAUUCUCGAAAAUCUUUCCUGUAUUUUUGCAAAAAAAAAAGAUACCAAAUUAAUAAUUUCCAUAUAAACUUAACUAAAUGUAUUUUGUUUAAUUUACAAAAACAUACACAAUGUUUUGGCUUAAGAAACCGCCAUAUUCGUCUUCCAAAUCUUGUGGAGUGUCCCAAUGGAAAACAGUCACAAACGGAACUAUACCUAUUUAUGACGUAAAAUAGAAAGAAAUGUUAAAUAAGGAUACUAUAUUACUUGUAUUUUUGUGAACUAGGUAUUUUAUAUGUAUAUAACCAUUUUUAAGGAGUUCAUCGAUGAGCUCGUGGUAGAAUUGCACACCAGCUUGACUCACUCCCUUCUCCUUUCUCCCAUCUAAUAAAGCAUUACAGUUUGUUUCAUUAGUUAUUGAUACUUCAACAUUCACAUAUACAUCAUCUAAAUUCAUUGGUUAUUAGUAUUAUAUAACAAUCACAUAAAUCUAAUUUCACCAAAUUCGAUUAAAACAAAAUCAAACUAGAGAUCUGCAGACAUAUACUCACGAGGAAAUAUUCUUGACCAUGCGAUUGAGAGUCUGAAUGCAUCUGUGUUUAGAUUCUUCAUUAGCUGAAUAUCUUCCUACAAACAUUUUUAAGACAAGGCAAAAUUUCAAUAACAUCUCGAGAAUAUAAGUUAUGUUUGUCUUAAAUUUAUAUUAAUAUAUACCUUAUAACGAUGGAAGAAAUCAACGGCCACAUCGGCGUGGUCGCCACUACAUCUCUCUGUAAUUUGAAAGUAAUUAAGAAAAUUAAUGGCUAUGUAUUGAUAUUAAUUAGUUAAAUUUAAUUUAAUAUUUAAACAUACUGUAUUGAGAAUGUAGAUUAUACGAGUACACUCACCUGGAUUUCUUCUACAGUAGAUAUCCCAUAGAGCCGGUCCACGACAAGUUUCAUUAAUUGCACCUUCGACCUAAUGACAUAACAAAAAAUAGUUGAUGAGUUGAGGAAUAUCACAUGCACAAAUGAUUUCAAAUGAUAGGUAUAACAUAUUUUGAGCAACUUUUACAUAAAAAAAAACCAUAUUUUAAAAAUAUGGAUUUGAAUUCAGAUAGAAACACAAUAACGACACUACUUUUUGUUUUUUGAACUAUGAUUUAGUAAAUCUGUUGUACCUGAAACGCAGCAGUAGCCGUGCCAAACAAAAACCCAUUAGGGAAACUUGCUCGGCUUAGCUUGGAAGUCGCCGGGCAAACAGGAUCAUCAACCGCUGUUGUCACAGAGACGAGGAUGGUUAGGAGCAAAAGCAGCCCCAUGAGAGGAAACUUUUGCAAUGCCAUUUUUGUUUUUAGUUUCUUCUGGAAGAGAACAAGUUUAUGAUGAUUUGUUUACAUCCAAUCGGAGUUCUUUAUAUAGCGAUUUUGAUUGUUUGUUAACGAGUGACUAAAAUAUAAUUGUUUAGUAAAACUAUUUUAUAUAUAGGAUGAUUCAUUGCAUGACCUCGACCGUUGUGUUCUUACUUAGUUUGGAACAUAUUAUAUUGUGCGUGGAACUAAUAUAAGUUCUUCAUCCAUUUUGGAUUUAAUUAUUUGAUUAGUCCAUUUUGGAUAUCAUAAUCUCCCAAUAUGAUUAUUUGUGUUUCAUAAUAAACCUUUUUCGGAAUAACUCUUAUGUACUUUGUCUAUGGUUUCGAUAAUUAACUAUGUUCAUAUAUAUAUAAAUAUAUAAUAUUGGUGUUUUAUAUAAUUUAAUAAUUGUAUAUUAUUUAUUUGGUAAUUUUUGGUUUAAACCACUGUCGCAUCUACUGCUAAGCCAAUCAUAAAAUUGCCGUAAAUACACAUAUUUUUAACUGUAAACCAGUCAUUUAAAAUGUCCGAUAACGUUUAAAACCUCAACCAAUUACUUCCAUUAACUUCCACAAUGACAACCACACCCCGUUGCAUUUAAACCAACGAAAACCCUAAAUAAUAACAAGCCUAUUUUUGAUACUCAAAUAAUUGGAGACUUUAUUAUUUUUCAAAACUUAAUUGUAAAAACAUAUUUUUUAACUUGUUUAACGAACAUUACUCUUAAUCUUUCAUAAAUCAGUUUCUAAUUCGAAAAAAAGUUAUACCUUAUUCUGAAAAAAUUCAGGUAGCAAGUAAAGGAUCUCUCAUUUAAUGUUUGGACUAAUGAAUGACUAAACUAUAUGAGUAUGUAUUUAGUAAGACUAUUUUUAUAGUAUAUAGGAUGCUUCAUGGCACGAUCUCGAUCAUUGUAUUAUAUAUAGUUUAGUAAAUCUAUUUAAUAAAUAGGAUGAUUCAUUGCAUUAUCUCGAUCAUUGACUAAUUCUUACUUAUUUUUCCUAGUUUGGAACAUAUUAUAUUGGGCGUGGAACAUAUAAUAUAAAAACGUGACUUAAAAAUAUAUCAUGUAUGUCCAAAAAAAAAGUUUACAGCAUGAGGAGUCCUCGAACCAAUCGGCCGGCCCUAAGUCAAUGGAUCAUUUAGUGCCUCGUAUAGAUCUAGAUCGAGUUUUGGAUCUUAUUUUGUUAUGGACGUUAAGUUAUUAAUGUGUUAGUGACUAAAAUAUAAAUAUAUAAUACAACUGUUUAAUAGGAUGACUCAUUCCAUGAUCUAUAUGGUUUACAUUACUUUUUUGUUUUCCAAUAUAUAGUCCUCGUGUCUAAAACUCUAAACUAAAUUAUAUCCUCUUUAUAUUUUAUAAUUGACACAUUUUGCGCGAAUAAAAAGACAAAUCAUUAACUAUACAAAUAUACCAUUACUUUAUUAGAUGAUAUUUCCUCUAUUUCAAAUUAUAUGAUGUUUUAGAUUAAAACACACACUUUAAGAAAUUUAUUUUUAAUUAUAAAAUUUGUUCUCUUGAUAUUAAAAAUACAAAAUACAAACCAAUAGUCAAAUAAUCAAAUAAAAUAUAUUUAAAAAUUGCAUUGAUAUUAGUAAAACAUCCUAAAUAAAUCUCUGAAAUAUCCUAUAUAAUGAAUCAGAGUGAGUGUUAAAUUUAAAACAAAAAUAUGAAUAAAUUAAAGAAUAAACGUGGAAGUUUAUUUGAAAAGUAAAAUUGGAAAUUUAAAAUAACAUGUUUUUUUUUGAAACAAAAUAAAAAUUCCACAAGAACACUAGUGGUUGUUAUACAGAAGGACUAUUAUUAAAUAUUUUAAAUUGGAUGAUUUCAUUGCACGAUAUAUAAACGUUGAGUUGUUUUUUAUUUUUCUAAAUCUUGAACGUAUAAUAUUCAUCAUGCAUAAACGUUGAGUUGUUUUUUUUAUUGAACAGAAAUAAAAAUCCUCAAAAUAUAACUUAAAGCUCAUCCCUCUUUAUCGCGGAUGGACUUAGGCCGUGUUCGUUUCAUCAGUCAGAUGGAUCAUCUAGAUAGAGAUGAGUUUUGAUGUUCGUUUGGUGCCAAAAACGGUUCAUUCAGAUGAUCUAUCCAAAUAAAUCAUCUGGAUGACUUUGAAAAUUUAAGCUAAAUUUUGAAACUUAUUUGGCUGAAUUUAAUUGGAUCAUUUGGAUGGAGAUGAUCCAGUCAAAAAUAACAAAUAACAAAAAUACCUUAAUUAUUUCAAUUGAUUAUUUAUAUGUAUUUUUUCGAUAAAAAAACAAAUAGACUUAAAUCUUAUUUUACAACUAUUUUUAAAAAAUAAAAAAUUAAAUUUUCCACUAAAACCGCAAAAUUAUUUUUUUUUCCGUUAAAACCGUAAAAUUUUGUUUUUCCGCCAAAACCGUAAGAUUCUGUUUUUCCGACAAAACCGCAAAAUCACGUUUUCCCGCCAAAACCGCAAAAUCACAUUUUCCCGCCAAAACCGCAAAAUCACGUUUUCCCGCCAAAACCGCAAAAUCGUGUUUUCCCGCCAAAACCGUAAAAUCACGUUUGUCCGUCAAAACCGUAAAAUCGAGUUUUUCCCGCCAUAACCGUAAAAUCACGUUUUCUAGUCAAAAACGUAAAAUCACGUUUUUCCGCCAAAACCGUAAAAUUUUGUUUUUCGCCAAAACCGUAAAAUCGAGUUUUCCCAUCAAAACUGUAAAACCACGUUUUCCCGCCAAAACCGUAAAAUAAAUUUAUAAAUGUAAAAAACUAUUAUUUGAAAUUUAUUUACUUUUAAAUAUAUUUUAGAUUAAGAAUUAAAAUUAACAUGUUUACAAGUAAUAAUAAAAAAUAUAAUUAGAUGAAAGCAUGGGUAGUUUAGGUAUUUGUAUUAUUACAAAUCAUUUGGAUGGAGAUAGAGAUAAGCAAACGAACAUCUCAUUCGGAUGGUCCAGUCAAAUGAACCGACUAAAAAUGAAACGAACAAGAGUUAAAUAAAUCAUCCAAAUAGACAUGUUGAAUGGAUCAGUUGGAUGGAUCUAUCAAAUGUAGAAACGAACAGGGCCUUAAAACCUUGACCAAAGAAAUCUUUGUAAUACCUGGCUGAUUGUUUCUCAUAACAUUGAGAUUAUUUUUAAAAUUGACGUAGUAGAAUCCCAAUCUGUUAUAUUAGAACCAUCUUGCUGAUAUUAUGUUGUGUUCAUUUUUAUGUACAUUGUCUUAUCUUAUCCGAUAUCAAAUUAUGUAACUUGAUUUUAUCUAAAUUGUUUGGAAAGAUUAAUCUCAAACUUGUAGCUACGGUGUGACAUCUUAUCCGAUCUCAAAUCAUGGUGAUUUUCUAAAAAUGUUAAACUAUUUCCAUUGUUUUAUUUCAUCGCCAAGCGGUUUAAGUUGUUGAAGUUAUUAGUCAUUAAAAUAUUUGCACGAUUUAGUUGUUAAGACGACGUCUAGUUAUUGCAUAAUCUAUUUCUUUAAAUAGAGGUAAAUUCGUAUUUUCAAUAUUUUAAAAACUAUGAUAUUUUUACUUCAUAUUUAAAAACAUCAGUCCUUUUGUAAAUUUAAGACUUUUUUUAAUAUAUAUAAUACAAUAUUUCUUCAUGUUUUGAAGGUAAAGAUACCUUCAUAUAAGGAUAAUAUAUUUAUACUAAAGCAUUCUUGAUCAUGUCAAAUAAGCUAGAAACUGAAGGAAUACAAAACACUUUUAUUAUUAUUAACCAAGACUUCAUGAAUCAUGAUCAAUCACAAACUAAAACAUAGGAAAGAAGCAUUGAACAGAAAACCAAAUCCUCAAAAUAUAACUUAAAGCUCAUCCUUCUUGAGCGCGGAUGGACGAACACCUUGACCGAGGAAAUCUUUGUAGUACUUGGCUGAUUCUUUCUCAUAACGUGUGAGGUUAUUUUUGAAAUCGACGUAAUAGAGUCCGAAUCUGUUAUUAUAACCAUCUUGCCAUUCAAAGUUAUCUAAUAAUGACCAUACAAAGU